GGGGAGGCGUUAAUGGGAACAGCAUUGAGCUCCAUGAAGAAGGGCACUGAUAAGAGACCUGUAAAUAAGGCAGAGUGCUGAGACACAAGCCCAUGCACACACGAGCACACACACAUAUGUGUAUACUAGUAAACACAUGCAACAUAACUUGUAAUCACCUAAGUGUGGCUCACAGGUUGGAGGGUGGUGGAGGAGGUUAGCCUGUUUCUCUCUUCGAAAAAUAAUGUUUAAUUUAGUCAUUAUAACCAUUCUAUCCUUUGUCAUAAGAUUUUUGAAACUCAAGAGGUUUAAAGCAUCGCUGUAGUUUAUACUUACAUAUUUUUUUAAAUCAACAAAUCAUUCCAAGUGCAGAUAAGACCCAGGUCCCUAAAAGAUUGCAAUAGCCUCAGUCACAAGGGCUUAUUUUCUUACUUAUUUCGCUACUUAUGUGAACUUUCAGAGUCCACCAAAUAAGGUUAAAAUAAGAAAAGGAGGGCUUACUCCACCCUAAUUAUUUGUUUUAGAAGAAAGAAUUGAUCGAGAUGGCAACCAUCUACCCGACAGAGAAGCCAGCACGAAGAGCCCUUGUAUGAAGGUGCAUUUGCCCCCCAAGAUAAAGAAGGGAAGUAGCAGGAAAUCAGAGAGUUUAACAAUACUCUCCUUUCUUCCAUCAUAACGUAAACAACCGUCCCUGUCUUUGGUCAGAAGGCACUAGCCUCAUGAGGCCGCAAAUGGGAACCACACCAAAUAGCCACUGCUGGCAGAAGAUAUGGAGGAAAGGAAGUGUCCGUAGGAGGUUUAUUUAUUUUACCAGAGGCUGCAACUGUCAGGGGAGACUGUAAAUGCCAUACACUUUAUUCUGGACAGGCUGUCAACUUCAAAGCAGAGGUCUGUGGAGAGGAGUCUGGAAUCUUCUCACCGCCAUUAAGCAAAGCCCCACCAAGUUAAGCUGAACUUCUCUAGUGUUUGUGAAAUGAAACACACACACCGUAGGUUACGAUUCUGCUGGCAGGUAGGUGUUGUUAAGAAGGCCACUGCUUUUUGAGAGAGUUACGGACUGCCAAGGAAGAAAAUCCAAGAAGUGUACAGUGGACAAAAGCAGGAGUUUGUAUUAACCCUUGGCCCGUGAUAUUCCUGGCUCUUUUUGCAUUACUCAUUUCAGGAUAUUUUAAGAAAGAGGACUGUGUUUUCUGACUGUAAAUACAAGUGCAGCAGGUUGAACCAGGAUACACCAAAUAUUUUUCUAACUGAGGGAGACCAAUGUAGAAUUUAGAUGCCAACAAGAUGACUCAACAGCCGUUUGUCUCAUAUUUACUCAUUUAGGACCAAGGGGAGUGGAAAGAAACAGCUGGUGUGAGCUAUUUCUAUUGGGAAGCAACAAGAUACAGCAUGCCGUUGGAGAUUAUUUUAAACCCAAGGUAUAUUAUUGUCACAGGUCUUUUAUAGAGCCUUCACACCCACUAAGCUCCUCUGUCAAUGUAUAUACACAUAUACAAAGAAGUUUUAACUGGAUCUCAUUGGGAGGGUUUAAAAAAAAAAAAAAAUCUGAAGCCACAUUGUGUAGCCCUUCAUGGUGAAAAGACCAACUGCUCCUGUUAAUAAGAAAGCCAUGUCUUUAUUGUUUCAUGUGCGAUGUAGCCCAUCUGAGCGACCCCAGCUUUUUUCCACUAGUGGUUGGUAACUACCUCACCAAAGCCUCCCAGGGACUGAAUUCCUGGGGAUGUUUACUCUUCCAUUACUAACACUCCCAACACAUCCUCCAGCUUUAACUUGGUAGCCUGUCUCCUCCACCAGGGAAAGCGCCAACUUAGAUUUUCUGGAGCAGGGCUUCAGGUAGUGGUUUAUUUGUGUUCCAUUUAACCUCUGAGGAAACUCAAUGCAGAAAUACAAUUUUAAGGAAGAGGUCUCUGUUUUUAUCGACUUUUAGAGUCAAAAGCAAAUUUUGAGGAGUUUCAAGGUCAGUAUUCUUUUUCGUAGGUACCUUCUCAAUACUUCAGCAAAUUUCCUGGCACGUAAGAAGUACUUAGUUAAUGUCAGUUGAUUGAUAGUUGGCUUUUUUUUGUUUGUUUUUGGGGUUUUUUUGAUUUUUGUGUUUUUUUGUUUUGUUUUGUUUUGUUUUUGUUUUUGUUUUUGUUUUGCUUUUUAGGGCUGUACCUGAGGCACACGGAAGUUCCCAGGCUAGGGGUCGAAUCAGAGCUACAGCUGCCAGCCUACAGCACAGCCACAGCAAUGCAGGAUCAGAGCCGUGUAUGCAAACUACAGCACAUCUCAUGGCAACACCAGAUCCUUAAUCCACCCAGCGAGGUCAGGGAUUGAACCUGCAUCCUCAUGAAUACUAGUCAGAUUUGUUUCUGCUGCACCACAAUGGGAACUCCAAUACUGUUGGCUUUUAUUCAGGCUUUUGAAGACAUUCUUUCUAAUAUCAGUUCUUAUUAUUCAAGAUUCUGGCUACAAACAUGAAAGAGUAUUUUGUGGGUACUGAGUUGAUGAGGCAUUUAAUAUCUGUUUGGUUUUGUUUUCUUUACUAAAUCCCUGCUAAUUACUUGUCUUCUAUUGUAGUUGCUUUCAUGGUUAUUCUGUUUUGUUUGUUUGCUUUGUUAUGUGUUAUCUGAUUGUUUUUUCUCCAAAAAAGUAGCGUAAAAAAUACACUAGAUGUCUUUUCUUAACUUUUACAUCCUACACCACUCUUCUUCCAUUGCCAACAUGCGCACACACACACACACACACACACACACAGAGAGAUUUGAAACUCCUAUAAAGGACUUCUUUCAGAACCUCUAUCAUCCUCAGAAAUUCUAUUUUCUGCUUUUAUUAUCCACUUAAUUCCUCUCAAAGAACAAUUUGUUUUUUAAGGAUACUGUUAAAAGCUAAGGUCAUUUCUAGUCUUUCUGUCCUCAUUCCCAACAUGUCUUUAAUGAUGAUAUUUCAGUCCUGUGCUUGGCGCUGUCUUUUGGAAGGCCCUUUCUAACAACUUUAAUGUACAGCCUUGAAGAGAAUCUAAGUGAUUUGACCAAGGUCUCAUAUAAAUUACUUCUAGAAAUAAGUUGAGUGUACGGAUUUUUCUGACUCCCAGUUCAGCAUACUUUUCACUGACUGUAUCCAGCUGAAGUCUGCCAUCCAAGAGACUUAACAUUCUCAGAGGAAUUAAAAACCAGCAAUAUGAACAACAAUAAUUACACUGUAAGAUGAUUUCUCUAGUGUGAUAAACGUCCACCAUGUUGCUCAAUGAAAAAAUGUGAUGCCAAGUCAAACAGCAUAAGCUGUGCCCAGCUUAUGGUAUUGAUAAGGAUAAUGGUAUAAAUGAUGCAACCUCAGAUAAAUGGUGAAACAAGCAUAUGACUGAUUAAAGGGCCCAGUAAAUACUAGAAUAGUGAUGACCUGAGAAUGGGUUAGAGAGUUUAAUGAGAGCUUAAGUAACUAUGAUGUGUCACACACACACAAAAUCCACUUUCCCACCAAAAUAUACCCGCUUUCCCAUAAAUAACAUCAUUACUUACAUUGUGGCUGUUAUCAAAAGUAUCCUUUCCUUUUUUCCCCUUUCUAUCACAUGAAUCCUAUCUUUCCUUCAAGAGUUUUUCCUGCUCCAUGAGGCCUUCUUUGAGCAUCUGGGCCUCACAAUUUCCUCUCCUUACUCUGAACCUUAGUCUGUGCUUUGACUGUCUGCUAAAUUUUUUUUUCAAAAAAAGUCUAUAUUUUAUUCUUCUCACUAAAACCUCCAUGCCUUCUAUGUAUUUGCUUCUUCCAAAUAGUUUACGACAGCUCAAUACAUUUCUGAUAACGAACUGACUUCAGAGUCGGGGAGCAGAGGCAUACAAGAGAGAGUUAAAGAAGCACAGGACAUUAGGGAUGUGUCUCAGAGACAUGGGACCUGCAUUUACAGUCUGGUUUUCCUUUGCAUUUCUCAUCCCUCCUUGUAGAAAGUCAUCCAUGACAAUGAGUGCUCUGUCUGGCAUUCUCGAGUAUUCCAGGAACUUUUUUUUUUCCACAAGGGCAAAGAGCUAUUUAUUACACAUUCAGAUGUCCAUCAAUACAUGUCAGUCAAAACUAGGAAGCACAAUAUUCUUUACAAUUACAAUGUUUCAUAAGUUCGAAAUUGGGAUCCAUGGCCAGGAAAUGGAUUUUUCCUAAUUUUUAGAUGUACUUUUUAGAGGAAGAAUGCAUUAU
This 4143-nucleotide long non-coding RNA is filed under the name Sus scrofa (pig). RNAcentral's name for it is "lncRNA (ENSSSCG00000059708.1)". The record is from RNAcentral. Lineage: Eukaryota; Metazoa; Chordata; Mammalia; Artiodactyla; Suidae.